AGUACUAUUUACCAACCGCUGUCUCUGAAAAAUGUGGAGGAAUUGAAAGCACUUCACAUCAAAGAAAAGAAAAUGUAUGGCUUAGUUAAAGUUAUAAUUGCACGUGCUAUUUCUGGUGUCAUUGUCGAUUAUUGCUUAUGGAGAAUGAAAUCCCCAUUCUUUUUAUUUAAACAAAGCCCUCAAUGAUAGUUUUACCAAGAAGUUCAAUGGUUCUGUAACUGUCGAUGACUUUUACAAUUGGUCUGAAGAAAUCCUAUUACCCAACCUGUACAGCGCUUAUGAAGGAUUUAUAACAGAUGGGAAUUCAAAGCUGAUUGGUAGCCCUUGCAUUCGACAGCCUUUGGAGGAUGAAGAAAUAGUUGACUUACUACUGACAAAAUUAUGUGGCAUCAUUGGAGUUCAGAGGAAGAAAGUUCAGGUAAUGGAAUCUUUGCUCGAAGGAGAAAAGGCAAAUCAUCAAUAGGAAUCAACAAUGGAGAAAAUUUGUUGAUUGCUUGUUGGAUGCUGCAGAGGGAAGAUACAAUGAGAUUCAAAAAUUGAGGAGUGCAGAAUAUUUUGUAACCAAAAGAGAGUGCAUUUUUGAAUAAUGUCUUCAUUAGCCUUUUGGGUAAUUUUUACAAUUAAGCAUCUCAGAAUUUAUGUAAAGUUGAUAAAUUGCUAUAAAACUCUAUUUUGGCAUUUAGGAACAUGGAAACAGGAAGAAACUCAUUUAGCCUUUUAAAACCAAAAACAGAAUGUUGGAAUAACCCAGCAGGUCACGCUGCAUCAGUGGAGGUAAAAGGUGUAUGUCGACUUUAUGGGUCAAGACUGCCUGAUCUGCCGAGUUCUUCCAGCGUUCUGAUUUUGUUCCAGGUUCCAGCAUCUGCAGUUUCUUUUGCUGUCAUUUAACCUUUUGAGAUUAUUCUGCCACUCUGGGGUAGUGACUAAAUUUUACUUCAUUUCCAGUUUACAAUCUUUAGUCUGCAGUCCUUGAAGCCUUUACUUCUAAAACAAAAAUAAUCUAUUGACAUGAACAUUUCAGUUAAAACAGCUUUCACAGUCUUAUGGGACAGAGGGCCAGUUUUCUGCUCCCUUUCUUUCUCUGAAAAGUGCUUCAUGAUUUCAUUCUUAAAUUGCUCUAAUUUGACGAUAAUAUCUUUGCUCUGGAUUUAUUCAACAGUGGAAAUAGUGAUUCUGUAUAUAUCUCAUUGCAUCCUUUCAUUAUUUCAAAGAUUAGAUCUACCUUCAAACAAAAGUAUGAAAGCCAUUCAUUCUGAUCAAACUGCAAUGUCGCCCUCCUAUGGUCUUGUUCUAGAUUUAAGACAGUAGGAAGAUGAUUUCUACAAACACUCCCAUUAAACUUUGACAACUGAAGUACCACUUAUAACUUCUGGUACUCUAACUUCCUGGGGCAAAGACCAAACUUUACAUGCCUGUGAGGUGUUUUUAGCUUGCUGGACACUUCAAGCAUUUUCUCCUCCAUGGUUUCUAAUUUCUCGCCAUUAAAAUAUAUUUCAAUUUUAAUAUUUUUAAUCCUAUCUGAAAAGUAGAUUUUGCAUUUAGUUUUGCUCCAGAUCUAACUCAUUGUCAAUCAUAAUGUUACUAUCCUGCCAUGGAAAGCUCAAUACAAAUUUAAGAUUAGAAAGAUAAAUUAAGACUUUGCAAUAACCUGAAAGGCCAUUCAACUUCUAUUCCUGUGUUGCUGUUUUAUGAUGUUAACCACAUGUACCAACUUUGUCCCGUAUUCCUUUACAUCUUUGGUAAUAAAAAUCUAUCAAUCUUAGAUUUAAAGUUAACAAUUGAUAGAACAUCAGUUACCAUUUGCAGAAAAUAUUUCUACUUGCAAAGCAUCAUAGAAAGUUGGAACCACUUCCAAACUUUAAUCUUGAAUGACCUGGUUCUGAUUGCCCACCCCACUCUUCUGGUUCAAGGUUCAACCAGCAAAAGUAGAUCCUAACAAUCUCUUUCGAUCUCUCCUCAUUUUCUAGGACUCUAUAAUUUAACCCUUGGGGUUUUGCUUUCAUUCUGGUAGAACUAUACUGCACUCCCUCGUAAGUCGAUACAUCCUUCCCAAAAUGUAUUGCUCAGAAUUUGCACAUAUUACAAUGUACCUAGUUUCACAAAAAUGAAACAAUGCCAAAAAUUGCAUAAGGACAAAAUUAAUACUUGGAGUUGAAGACCCAUAUAAAAUGUGAGUCACUUAAUAACAUGAUGUAGUUGUUUCCAUGAAUGUUAUUUAGUGCCUUUUUCGGACUGUAAACUAAUCCAAGGUUUUAAGGAAACUUGCUCGGUUAUGUUAGAAAUAUCAAUGAGUGGAAAAUAUUUCACUUAGUCACGAUUAAUUUCAGUCACAAAUCUCAUUAAAAAGAUACAAAAUAAUACAAUGCCAAAUCAAUUGAUGUAAUCAGUUCCAUCUGUCGCAAAACUACAGCAACUUUUGUCACUUGCACUGUACUUAAUCUAAAAACAAUCAAUUUAAUCUUAAAUAAACUCAUGAUUAACAAUC
Molecule: long non-coding RNA, 2485 nt
Organism: Pristis pectinata (smalltooth sawfish)
Lineage: Eukaryota; Metazoa; Chordata; Chondrichthyes; Rhinopristiformes; Pristidae
Exons: 4
Source: RefSeq, a predicted model, not a curated record